CCGUAAACCCAGGUAGUCAUAAAACAAGACUAUUCGCCAGAGUACUACUAGCAACAGCCUAAAACUCAAAGGACUUGGCGGUGCUUCAUACCCCCCUAGAGGAGCCUGUUCUAUAACCGAUAAACCCCGAUCAACCUCACCAACCCUUGCUACUUCAGUCUAUAUACCGCCAUCUUCAGCAAACCCUAAAAAGGAAUGAAAGUAAGCAUAACUAUCCUACGUAAAAACGUUAGGUCAAGGUGUAACCCAUGGGAUGGGAAGAAAUGGGCUACAUUUUCUACACCAUAGAACACCCUAUACCCCACGAAAGUUUUUAUGAAACCUAAAAACCAAAGGAGGAUUUAGCAGUAAAUUAAGAACAGAGUGCUUAAUUGAAUAAGGCC
This 383-nucleotide ribosomal RNA is filed under the name Physeter macrocephalus (sperm whale). RNAcentral's name for it is "Physeter catodon (sperm whale) small subunit ribosomal RNA". It matches the Rfam family "Bacterial small subunit ribosomal RNA", at positions 800 to 1373 of the family's 1533-position model. Lineage: Eukaryota; Metazoa; Chordata; Mammalia; Artiodactyla; Physeteridae. The record is from RNAcentral.